CCUACGGGAGGCUGCAGUGGGGAAUAUUGCACAAUGGGGGAAACACUGAUGCAGCGACGCCGCGUGAGCGAUGAAGUCUUUCGGUAUGUAAAGCUCUAUCAGCAGGGAAGAAAAUGCAGAUACCUGACUAAGAAUCCCCGGCUAACUCCGUACCAGCAGCCGCGGGAAGACGUCGGGGGCAAGCGUUAUCCGGAUUUACUGGGUGUAAAGGGUGCGUAGACGGUCCUGCAAGUCAGUUGUGAAAGCCCGGGGCUGAACCCCUGGACUGCAUUUGGAACUGUAAGGCUAGAGUGUCGGAGAGGCAGGCGGAAUUCCUGGUGUAGCGGUGAAAUGCGUAGAUAUUAGGAGGAACACCAGUGGCGAAGGCGGCCUGCUGGACGAUGACUGACGUUGAGGCUCGAAAGCGUGGGGAGCAAACAGGAUUAGAUACCCGGGUAGUC
This 440-nucleotide ribosomal RNA is filed under the name uncultured bacterium. RNAcentral describes it as "partial 16S ribosomal RNA". It matches the Rfam family "Bacterial small subunit ribosomal RNA", at positions 338 to 795 of the family's 1533-position model. The record is from RNAcentral.